This 253-nucleotide ribosomal RNA is filed under the name uncultured bacterium. RNAcentral's name for it is "partial 16S ribosomal RNA". It matches the Rfam family "Bacterial small subunit ribosomal RNA", at positions 524 to 776 of the family's 1533-position model. The record is from RNAcentral.
UACGAACCGUCCUAACGUUAUUCGGAAUCACUGGGCUUAAAGGGUGCGUAGGCGGCCCGAUAAGUUGGGUGUGAAAUCCCUCGGCUCAACCGAGGAAUUGCGCUCAAAACUGUCGGGCCUGAGGAAGAUAGAGGUAAGCGGAACUUAGGGUGGAGCGGUGAAAUGCGUUGAUAUCCUAAGGAACACCGGUGGCGAAAGCGGCUUACUGGGUCUUUACUGACGCUGAGGAACGAAAGCUAGGGUAGCGAACGGG